GUUAAGCGACUAAGCGUACACGGUGGAUGCCCUGGCAGUCAGAGGCGAUGAAGGACGUGCUAAUCUGCGAUAAGCGUCGGUGAGGUGAUAUGAACCGUUAUAACCGGCGAUUUCCGAAUGGGGAAACCCAGUGUGUUUCGACACACUAUCAUUAACUGAAUCCAUAGGUUAAUGAGGCGAACCGGGGGAACUGAAACAUCUAAGUACCCCGAGGAAAAGAAAUCAACCGAGAUUCCCCCAGUAGCGGCGAGCGAACGGGGAGGAGCCCAGAGCCUGAAUCAGUGUGUGUGUUAGUGGAAGCGUCUGGAAAGGCGCGCGAUACAGGGUGACAGCCCCGUACACAAAAAUGCACAUAUUGUGAGCUCGAUGAGUAGGGCGGGACACGUGGUAUCCUGUCUGAAUAUGGGGGGACCAUCCUCCAAGGCUAAAUACUCCUGACUGACCGAUAGUGAACCAGUACCGUGAGGGAAAGGCGAAAAGAACCCCGGCGAGGGGAGUGAAAAAGAACCUGAAACCGUGUACGUACAAGCAGUGGGAGCCUCUUUAUGGGGUGACUGCGUACCUUUUGUAUAAUGGGUCAGCGACUUAUAUUCUGUAGCAAGGUUAACCGAAUAGGGGAGCCGAAGGGAAACCGAGUCUUAACUGGGCGUUAAGUUGCAGGGUAUAGACCCGAAACCCGGUGAUCUAGCCAUGGGCAGGUUGAAGGUUGGGUAACACUAACUGGAGGACCGAACCGACUAAUGUUGAAAAAUUAGCGGAUGACUUGUGGCUGGGGGUGAAAGGCCAAUCAAACCGGGAGAUAGCUGGUUCUCCCCGAAAGCUAUUUAGGUAGCGCCUCGUGAAUUCAUCUCCGGGGGUAGAGCACUGUUUCGGCAAGGGGGUCAUCCCGACUUACCAACCCGAUGCAAACUGCGAAUACCGGAGAAUGUUAUCACGGGAGACACACGGCGGGUGCUAACGUCCGUCGUGAAGAGGGAAACAACCCAGACCGCCAGCUAAGGUCCCAAAGUCAUGGUUAAGUGGGAAACGAUGUGGGAAGGCCCAGACAGCCAGGAUGUUGGCUUAGAAGCAGCCAUCAUUUAAAGAAAGCGUAAUAGCUCACUGGUCGAGUCGGCCUGCGCGGAAGAUGUAACGGGGCUAAACCAUGCACCGAAGCUGCGGCAGCGACACUAUGUGUUGUUGGGUAGGGGAGCGUUCUGUAAGCCUGUGAAGGUGGCCUGUGAGGGUUGCUGGAGGUAUCAGAAGUGCGAAUGCUGACAUAAGUAACGAUAAAGCGGGUGAAAAGCCCGCUCGCCGGAAGACCAAGGGUUCCUGUCCAACGUUAAUCGGGGCAGGGUGAGUCGACCCCUAAGGCGAGGCCGAAAGGCGUAGUCGAUGGGAAACAGGUUAAUAUUCCUGUACUUGGUGUUACUGCGAAGGGGGGACGGAGAAGGCUAUGUUGGCCGGGCGACGGUUGUCCCGGUUUAAGCGUGUAGGCUGGUUUUCCAGGCAAAUCCGGAAAACCAAGGCUGAGGCGUGAUGACGAGGCACUACGGUGCUGAAGCGACAAAUGCCCUGCUUCCAGGAAAAGCCUCUAAGCAUCAGGUAACAUCAAAUCGUACCCCAAACCGACACAGGUGGUCAGGUAGAGAAUACCAAGGCGCUUGAGAGAACUCGGGUGAAGGAACUAGGCAAAAUGGUGCCGUAACUUCGGGAGAAGGCACGCUGAUAUGUAGGUGAAGCGACUUGCUCGUGGAGCUGAAAUCAGUCGAAGAUACCAGCUGGCUGCAACUGUUUAUUAAAAACACAGCACUGUGCAAACACGAAAGUGGACGUAUACGGUGUGACGCCUGCCCGGUGCCGGAAGGUUAAUUGAUGGGGUUAGCGGUAACGCGAAGCUCUUGAUCGAAGCCCCGGUAAACGGCGGCCGUAACUAUAACGGUCCUAAGGUAGCGAAAUUCCUUGUCGGGUAAGUUCCGACCUGCACGAAUGGCGUAAUGAUGGCCAGGCUGUCUCCACCCGAGACUCAGUGAAAUUGAACUCGCUGUGAAGAUGCAGUGUACCCGCGGCAAGACGGAAAGACCCCGUGAACCUUUACUAUAGCUUGACACUGAACAUUGAGCCUUGAUGUGUAGGAUAGGUGGGAGGCUUUGAAGUGUGGACGCCAGUCUGCAUGGAGCCGACCUUGAAAUACCACCCUUUAAUGUUUGAUGUUCUAACGUUGGCCCGUAAUCCGGGUUGCGGACAGUGUCUGGUGGGUAGUUUGACUGGGGCGGUCUCCUCCUAAAGAGUAACGGAGGAGCACGAAGGUUGGCUAAUCCUGGUCGGACAUCAGGAGGUUAGUGCAAUGGCAUAAGCCAGCUUGACUGCGAGCGUGACGGCGCGAGCAGGUGCGAAAGCAGGUCAUAGUGAUCCGGUGGUUCUGAAUGGAAGGGCCAUCGCUCAACGGAUAAAAGGUACUCCGGGGAUAACAGGCUGAUACCGCCCAAGAGUUCAUAUCGACGGCGGUGUUUGGCACCUCGAUGUCGGCUCAUCACAUCCUGGGGCUGAAGUAGGUCCCAAGGGUAUGGCUGUUCGCCAUUUAAAGUGGUACGCGAGCUGGGUUUAGAACGUCGUGAGACAGUUCGGUCCCUAUCUGCCGUGGGCGCUGGAGAACUGAGGGGGGCUGCUCCUAGUACGAGAGGACCGGAGUGGACGCAUCACUGGUGUUCGGGUUGUCAUGCCAAUGGCACUGCCCGGUAGCUAAAUGCGGAAGAGAUAAGUGCUGAAAGCAUCUAAGCACGAAACUUGCCCCGAGAUGAGUUCUCCCUGACUCCUUGAGAGUCCUGAAGGAACGUUGAAGACGACGACGUUGAUAGGCCGGGUGUGUAAGCGCAGCGAUGCGUUGAGCUAACCGGUACUAAUGAACCGUGAGG
Molecule: ribosomal RNA, 2894 nt
Filed under: Escherichia coli
Lineage: Bacteria; Pseudomonadati; Pseudomonadota; Gammaproteobacteria; Enterobacterales; Enterobacteriaceae
Description: partial 23S ribosomal RNA
Rfam family: Bacterial large subunit ribosomal RNA
Source: RNAcentral